RNAcentral lists this long non-coding RNA (6767 nucleotides) under Homo sapiens (human). Its description in RNAcentral is "HSALNT0408334". The record is from RNAcentral. Lineage: Eukaryota; Metazoa; Chordata; Mammalia; Primates; Hominidae.
GUCAUAACGGCGACCGUGAAGACUUUUAAAAUAGAGACCAACGUGGCCGGGCAGGAAGAGCAGGGUCCCGCCUUCAGGUGUUUGGGACUCAGCUGAGGGUGUGGGUGCCCCGCGGUGGGGGCUGAACCUUCCUGGGGUGUGGAGAGACGAAAGGAGCCCAGAUCCAAGUUCCCUCGUUCCCGCUUUGGCAUAAGUUGCCCUGGCGGUCUCAUGAGAGAGAGAAAGAGCUGGGACCCUCCUCGCCCCAGUGAGUGUGAUGUCUUGCUCCGGGUGUCCUGGGGCAACUUUCUAUACAGGCGGGACGUGGGAGGAUCAGACAGUGUAACAUCAGACAAGGGUGUUGACUCUGCAGCACAGAACCAGUAGUUUGUGGAGAAGAAUGGAGGUGUGGUGUUGAAUCUGCUAGACAGGCUACUGAAGCAAAAGUCAAGAGAUCCAGAUUCCAUCAUGGGGACACUUUAGUUCUUCAUCGGGUAAUUGAGCUGAUAUCAGGUGUCUGAAGGAGGCAAGUUUUGAAGAUGUGGGUCAUGAUGGCUGCUGAAGCUUCCACUCCAUAUUUGAAGGUCAGCAGUUCUCAGGAAACCUCUAGCACUUCCAUCCCUGGUGGGAUGUGAUGCCUGUCUCAGUGUAACAUCAGAGAAGGGGUGUACUCUGUGCCCUAGAACUAGGAGCUAACAGAGAAAAACCAAAUGUGAUGUGGAGUCUGCUAGACAGGCUACUGGAGCAAGAGUGAAGCGAUGAAAGUCUCAUCAUUGGGACAUAUUAGAAAAAAUGAUGGAUACAGAAGGAUAGCUGGAUGUAAGUGAAAAGUUCCAGAAAACCAUGUCUGAUCCCAUUAAUCAAGCUCCCAACUUUCAUCCCUCCCUGCCCGCUGCUGAGUCCCCUGGUCUACACUCAGAGUUGCAAUCCUGACUCUGGCCACCAAGAGGCAUUACAGCUAUCUCCACGUUCCUUGCUCUUUCUUAAUGAAAAGGGGUAAAUUUCGCAGAGUAAGUAAUGUUAUGAAACUUUUCUUUACUGUGAUACCAAUAGUUCGGAAUACCCAUUUGUAUAUUAAAGCAGGCCAAUUUGCUGUUGAUUCCAAAUCUACAGCGCAUUCAGUAAUUUAUUUUUUCCUUCAUUAGCGUAGGUUGAGGUGUCCACGCUGUAGGGGGGGGUCCCUCCUGGAGAGCAGGGUGUUCACCACCCAUCACUCCAACCCUGUACAGGCUUCUCAGACUCUCUCCCACUCCCUCCCACUGACCCCCCUCUCCAAGACAUUGUGGACACAUCUGCCCAGACCCCACUCCAGCGCCUCAUCCUUUCAGUCACUUCCUGCUGCCCUGGGCUCCCCCAAUCCUGCCUCCCAGCAACAGCCAAGGCACAUCAGACCUACCUGGUGUUUCAUCCUAUGGAUGUCCCACAGUAUGUUUUUACACUCUUUUUUACACCUGUCAGGGUUGUUUUUUUUUUCCAGACAGAAUCAUUCUGCAGUUCCUUUCAUAGACUGGGUUUUAGGGGAGGAUACCGUAUUUUUCUGCUCCUUGCUUACACUUUGUAGAGAAGUUUGAUAAUAGUGGUACAGUGAUGCCCCCUCAUGACAGAAGCCUGAACUGCAGCAGCUUGAACAUCGCUGAGCAGGAAGGUGGGAGGGAGGUGCUGUGGCCCAUGCACACCCUACAGAGUUUUCUGGAAGUGUGAGUAGAAAAAUGGGCAUUCCCACUGUACAGGGAUACUGACGGCCACCAGACAGAAAGUGUAGCCUCUUUAUGUGCUAUGUGAAAGCACAAAAUGAUCAUUUCUGUGUUUAUGCUUUCAAACCUCUGGAUAAAUAGCUAUAGACCUAUAUAAGCAAAAAUGCAUCUUGGCCACUAAGUGAUCUUUGUGACCCACAUUUGCCCUCAUUGUGAUCAUCUUUGCAUACACAUGCGUUUCCAUAAUAAUGUUUUAAAUUUCCUUCCAAAAAUAAUUGUAGUCUCUUUUUUUUAUCAACCAGGUGGUUCAUCAUGUGGGUGCCCCAAAAAUUCAUUUAAUUAGUAUCCCAGUCAUAAAAAUGUAGUUGCUUUAACAUUUUUUCCUGUUACAAACAAUAGUAUACUUAAUAUCCUCCUCAUAUAUAUGCAAAUAUAUUUGUAAGCAUUUCUGUCAAAAAAAAAAAAGUUCCUGGAAGUGGUCUUUCAAAACCCUGGGAACUGUAAAAUUUUAUAUUAACAUAGUGAAAUCCAAAUACUAUUUCUAACUUAUAUUCCUUACAUAACAGUAUGUAAGGACCUUGUGUCUUCACACAUUAGAAAUAAUGUGAAUCAUUGCUAAUCUUACAGGCAACAAAUCACCUCUCAUCGUUAUCUUCAUUAAAACUUGUUUUGCUGAAUUCUAGAAUUCCAUCCUAUGGAUAUGACAUCAGUUUUCUCAAACCUGUGUUAGUCAGAGUGUUCUGAUAUUCCCUGUUAUCUACACUGUGUGGAAGACAUCUUUUCAGAGUCUGUGCAUGGCUGAAGGGCACAGUUCCUGUAGCUGUUUACACUGGUGAGCCAAAUGGGUCCUCUUAGAGCCUUACUAACUGUCUUGGAGGUUAUUACAGUACUAAUAACAGAACCUGGUUGCUGUACAUGUGUGUGUAUUUGUCACUGCUUGUGUGUGUGCACAGCAUUUCCCUCUGCUUCCUUCUGCCCCUUCAUAAUUUGGUGUACCGGUUGGUCUUUCUUCCUAAAUUCAGGCCCAGAAAUAAAGGAAGGGAAUUUUCAGAAUGACAGUACUUAUAACCAGAUGCUUAUCAGCAUCCUUCACAAUGUCCUGAAGAUAAACUUCUAAAAGGUAAAUUGUUGGUGCAAAGGGUGUGCACCUAUGUAGCCCUUUGAUAAGUAUUGCAAUACUGACACCCAGAGAGGUAAUGCCAUUUAGAUUCCUCAGGUGGAGUCACAGGAGAAAAUCCCAAGAGGAGUAAAAAAUAAUAAUGCUGAUGUCAUGUUAGAGUGGAGGCCCUGGAUGCUGUUGUGGACCCACUCUCCAGUUUCUUCCACAGUUAGAAGAUGUGGAAGUGAUCAGGUGCAACUCGAAUUUUUCAUACAAGCAAAGCCCGAGUCAGCGUGAGGGGUGGUGGUGGUGGGGCAGGGAGAGACUGCCAUUGCUUGGAGUUACUUAGGACACAGUCAGCAGGGCUGGGAUACAGCUACGGUUUUAUAUAUAUUCAUGGGUAUAGAAAACAUGGGCAUCAAGGCCUUCAUAUGAAAAAGUUUGGUCAUUACUGAGGUACAACAGAAGGCUUUCUUGCAAUAUAAUUACAGACAAUGAAAUUCGCAGUUUUAAGGAUACAACUUGAUGAUUUUCAGUAAACAAAAGUUGUGCAACCAUCACCGUAGUUGAGUUUUGGAGGUUUCCAUCACUAUAAAAUGUCCCAUCAUACUUGAACGCAGUUAAUCCCUGCUUUCACCCCCAGCUCCAGGAAUCACAGCGCAGAGCUUUUAUGCAGAUGACUGAACCCGUGGAGUUAGGUGGCUGAGAGGAUGCAGCUUCCCAGGUCUCUACAACUGAUGGCAGCAAGAUGGGAGCACCCAGCUACAGUGUUCAGAAGUAGAUUUAGGCAGACUACCACACCUUACAUGCUAGAGGGAUCCACACUGACCUGAGUAGGUGAGGUCUCAGACAGGCUUGUUUUCUAUCAUGGGGACAGGAUUACAGCCUACUCAGAAGUAAGUUGUGGUCCAGCUCUUGUGUCAUUCAGAAAGACUCCAGAACGUGUAGAUCCAGCUCCUCUCUAAACUUGAACUCAACCAAUAUCCCAGAGAGACAUUCUUAAUCUUCUAGGCAAAUGCACUGUCAUUAGGAGCCACCAGAGACCACACAAACACACACAAAUACACACACACACACACACACAUAUACACCCUGGAGCCUUAAUGCCAGCAGUAGCCCUAGGAGAACCUACAGGCUCAUGUGCUUGUUGCUUAUUGUCUGUUAGGCUGCAUAUGUAACUGGACCCUUUUGCAUUUAAAAAAAUAGCAAUAAUGAUGAUUAACAGAGUGUUUAUUAGGGAAUUAUUUAAAAAUUACCUUAGUAUCCAGUUAAAUAUGAUGAAAAUGAGAGAAUUUCCACCUGUCAUGUUAUCAAAGUAUUUUAAAAAACCAUCGAGGAUUUCAGUGAGGUGUGCAUAUGGGUAGGUCUACUCUGUCUCAUAUUGGGGGAGGGGAUAUCACUUCGUACAACCUCUUUCCAGGUUGAUUUGGCAAUAUCUUUUAAAUAGUCUGUGCAUCCCCACUCUGUAUGUAUUUGGAGCCUGUCCCUUCAAGUAUUCAUCCUCAGUGUGACAACUGCCCCUCUAUUAGAGGAUGCAUAUUCCUCAUGAUGUAGGUUGUCUGGGAACUCUACUUUCUAAAGCACUGACCCAGACACAUUCCCUUGUCUUUGCAGAGCAGGAUAUUGAUGUACAACAAGAUUCUCUGAUCAGAAAGAGAGGCAGAACUAGCAGCCUGGCUUCAGAGGUGAAGAUACAGAUGUCAGUAGUGACCCAGUGUGACAUGCAUAAAGGAAUUUCUUAUUGAGCCCCAGGAAGAAGAAACACUACAUAAGAGCAAAUAAUAAAAUCGGUCAGAUAGACAGAAGAUGGGAGUCAUCAAACCUGUAUCCCUCUUGCCAGACCUAUCAACUGACCAUACGUCAUUCAGGAGGCAGCAGGUGGCUGAAAUCCUGGUGUGAUGUGGCUGGAUCAUGCAUGAUCUGAGGACUCCUGCACAGGUGACUGCAGGAUGAGUACAGAAUUUUUCUAUAAAUAUACUAAAAUACCAAGUAAGCCAGGAGCAGCCACUAGGCAAACACCAAACCUUGCAUUCCUGGCCAAACCUAUCACAGAGCUCAUCAGAUGCAGUGGAUCCCCAGGUUGCAAGUCAUAUAACCUGAGCAUGCCCAGAUGAACCAAGUAUGCCUGAUUGGUGAACCUGGAACUGGCCAGAACAGAAAAUGUCAACCACAUGUGGAAUCUAAGUAUUCAGAUUGAGAAAUGAGGACCAAAAUGAGAACACUGAGCUCCUCACACAGGUGACUGAACCCGUGGUUUUGGUGUCUGAGAAGAUGCAGCUUCUCCAGUCUCUGCAACUGACGGCAGGAAGAUGGGAGCACUCAGCUUCAGUGUUCAGAAGCAGAUUUAGGCCAAUUGCCAUACCUUACGUUCUGGAGGGAUCCACCCUGACCUGAGCAGGGCACAAUUAUUUUAUCUUGGAACCAACAAUCUUCGGAGAAUGUAUCCCAAAGAUACAAUUCAAAAAGAUAAAAAGGCAGAAGCACAAGGUCAUUCUUGGCAGAACAAAUUGUAACAGCAGAAGACUGGAAAUAAGACAGAUGUCCACCAAUAAAGGACUGACUGAAUAAUCUAAGGUGCAUCUACAUCCUAGAUUUCAAUGCCGGUAUAACAAGCAAGGAAGAUUCCCUCUCUCUGCUGCUAUGUAGUGAUUUCCAGGAUAUACCAUUAAGUGAAUAAAGCAAAGUGCAGAAAAAUGUGUAGAGCUGCUGUUGUCCCAUACCAUACCCACUGGCCACUCAUGGCUAUUUAAGUUAACUAAAUUUAAAUGGAAUUUUAAAUUCACUUCCUCAGUCACACUCACCACAUUUUAGGUGUUUAAUAGUCACAGGUAGCUAGUGGCUACUAUGUUGGACAGUUGAGACAUAGAAUAUUUUCACCUUUGUAGAAAUUCUAUUGGACUCCACCAGUGUAGAAUAUGUCACCUUAUAUAUAUGGAAUAGGAGAAAACUAAUAGAAACAUUCUAUUUGCUUAUAUUUUUAAAAUUGGAAAGUUUUAAUGAAAAUUGAUUUAAAAAAUCAUUACCUAUAAAGAGAAGGAAAAACAGCCCAGGACAGAAGCCAAUAAUGUCUUUUCCCUUAAAAAUAUAAUAUAUAUACACUGGCUCCAUGCACUAGAAAGGUGAAGAAACAUGAUAGACCCAGUAGCAAUGAGCAACUCUAGUGCCCAUAUUGAAUCCACUUAAAACACAUCACACUGAAAGGAACUAGGUUAUCUUAGAGAAAUGACUGAGUUUAGGUCUGUGUAGCCAUUCUACUAGAUGAAUCUGGACCAAACUAUCAUGCCAGAGAGUGCGUCAAAAAGACUCAGAAGCCAAGCUUAAGGGGCUCUCGCUGGACAAAGAUGAAGCAAUUUGAACAUUAAAUAAAAUAAUGACUACUAUGGAUUAAAACACAUUAUAAUAUAAAAACUUCUACAGCUCAUGAUGACACUCUAAAAGAAAAAUAAAAUAAAACAAACAAUAUCAACUCAUUGCUUGCCUUUGGAGAACCCUAGGGAAACAACUCAUUGUUUUGAAAAGUGGAAAUAUUGCAAAAGAAUUAGGCACUCAUCCAACCCUUUCUAUACAUACUAUCCCUCAGUGUAACCUAAUGGUUUAUGAAAGUUUAUUUAAUAGAAUAAUUCCAGCUAAUAAAGCAGAGAAAAUUAUAGAAUUAGAAUAUCAUCCUUUUAUGACCUUUAAUGAAUAUAGAACUAAGCAACAAUCCUUAGACGCUGCAGAAAAAUCGAGGUGAAAAAGGGAUGGGAAAUUUUAUAAUGGAUGGAUCAGCUUAACAAUACUUGAACAUAGUAAUUAAUCUUAACAUCACAAGAGGAGAGACAAUUAGACACAAUGAGCCCCCUGUGUAACACUAUAGGAAUAAACAAUACCACAUAUGAAGUACUUCUGACCAAAACAAAUCUAAAUUGAAUCAAGCCUCUGAAUCUAACACCAUUUUGUUAAAUUUUUUUAUUAUACUUUUAAGUUCUGGGAUACAUGUGGAGAAUGUACAGGUU